RNAcentral lists this ribosomal RNA (371 nucleotides) under uncultured Desulfobulbus sp. RNAcentral's name for it is "bacterial SSU rRNA". It matches the Rfam family "Bacterial small subunit ribosomal RNA", at positions 1014 to 1382 of the family's 1533-position model. The record is from RNAcentral. Lineage: Bacteria; Pseudomonadati; Thermodesulfobacteriota; Desulfobulbia; Desulfobulbales; Desulfobulbaceae.
CCAUCUGGAAGAAGUCUGGAGACAGGUGCUGCAUGGCUGUCGUCAGCUCGUGUCGUGAGAUGUUGGGUUAAGUCCCGCAACGAGCGCAACCCUUGCCUUUAGUUGCCAGCAGUUCGGCUGGGCACGUCUAAAGGGACUGCCGGUGUUAAACCGGAGGAAGUGGGAUGACGUCAAGUCCUCAUGGCCUUUAUGACCAGGGCUACACACGUACUACAAUGGCCGAUACAAAGGGCAGCGACACUGCGAGGUGAAGCCAAUCCCGUGAAAAUCGGUCUCAGUCCGGAUUGGAGUCUGCAACUCGACUCCAUGAAGUUGGAAUCGCUAGUAAUCGUGGAUCAGCAUGCCCACGGUCGAAUACGUUCCCGGGCCUU